GACAUUUGGUAGAGACUGUUGAAGCCACCUGGUCCCAGCAGACCCCAGAAAAUGGCUAUAUUCGCUGGUGAUGGAACAAGGUCAUUAAGGGUGAAGCCUGGUGCCAGAUGUGU
Ribosomal RNA from Panthera pardus (leopard), 113 nucleotides. NCBI's taxonomy places the organism in Eukaryota, Metazoa, Chordata, Mammalia, Carnivora, Felidae. The record is from Ensembl.